GCCCGGGUGGCGAAAUUGGUAGACGCAGGGGAUUCAAAAUCCCCCGGCCGCGAGGCCGUGUCGGUUCGAGUCCGACCCCGGGCACCA
RNAcentral lists this transfer RNA (87 nucleotides) under Natronospira bacteriovora. Its description in RNAcentral is "tRNA-Leu". It matches the Rfam family "tRNA". From Rfam's summary of the family: Transfer RNA (tRNA) molecules are approximately 80 nucleotides in length. Their secondary structure includes four short double-helical elements and three loops (D, anti-codon, and T loops). Further hydrogen bonds mediate the characteristic L-shaped molecular structure. tRNAs have two regions of fundamental functional importance: the anti-codon, which is responsible for specific mRNA codon recognition, and the 3' end, to which the tRNAs corresponding amino acid is attached (by aminoacyl-tRNA synthetases). tRNAs cope with the degeneracy of the genetic code in two manners: having more than one tRNA (with a specific anti-codon) for a particular amino acid; and 'wobble' base-pairing, i.e. permitting non-standard base-pairing at the 3rd anti-codon position. RNAcentral also lists the same sequence under 1 other name. The record is from RNAcentral. Lineage: Bacteria; Pseudomonadati; Pseudomonadota; Gammaproteobacteria; Natronospirales; Natronospiraceae.